RNA transcript from Myotis daubentonii (Daubenton's bat), 1162 nucleotides. It is a transcript of the gene named EEF1A lysine methyltransferase 2, with no coding region annotated. The record is from RefSeq and is a predicted model, not a curated record. Lineage: Eukaryota; Metazoa; Chordata; Mammalia; Chiroptera; Vespertilionidae.
CCCCGCGUCGUCUCUAUGGCGGCCGCACAGCCGUCCCGGCCGCAGAGCGGGAUGAGCGCGCGCGGAGGCGCGGGGCUGGCGGCGCGGUCCCGGGAGGGCAGUCCCGGAGCGGGCGGCUUCGCCCCGUCGGCGCUCGGGACCCGAGAGCAUUGGGAUGCUGUGUAUGAGCGAGAACUGCACACUUUCCAAGAAUAUGGAGACACAGGAGAAAUCUGGUUUGGGGAGGAGAGUGUGAAUCGACUCCUAAGGUGGAUGCAGAGACACAAGAUCCCCUUGGAUGCUGCGGUGCUGGAUAUUGGAACCGGAAAUGGUGUCCUCCUGGUUGAGCUUGCAAAACUCGGUUUCUCUAAUAUUACUGGCAUUGAUUACUCACCUUCUGCAAUACAGCUUUCCGGAAGUAUUAUAGAGAAAGAAGGGUUAUCUAACAUUACGUUGAAGGUAGAAGACUUUCUGAAUCUUCCCACAGAGCUGUCUGGGUUUCACGUUUGUAUUGACAAAGGGACUUUCGAUGCCAUAAGCCUGAAUCCUGACAAUGCAAUUGAGAAGAGGAAGCAGUAUGUGAACUCUCUCUCCAGGGUCUUGAAAGUGAACGGCUUUUUUCUAAUAACCUCCUGUAAUUGGACCAAGGAAGAGCUGCUGAACGAAUUCUGUGAAGGAUUUGAACUCUUCGAAGUGCUGCCAACACCCAAGUUCAGCUUUGGAGGCCGGUCUGGAAACAGUGUGGCUGCAUUGGUUUUCCAAAGAACGUGAGACUUCUCCGGACGAACGCAGGGAGCUUUUAGAGAAGCCCCACAUCAAAGUAAAGCCGGCAGAAAAUGCAGGUGCAGCUAACUGCUCAGUCUGGAUGCCAAGUCAUUGUUUGCAGCGACAUCAAACAAGGGCACCGAACGCAGGUCCCAGUGGCGGCGCAGGUUCGAUGACAGCGGUGGAGUUGGGUUUGGUCUCUUACCAGCGCCCGGGAGCAGUGGGCUCAGGCUUUCGCGGUCGGUCCCACCUUGCGUCUACGUUUGACUUCCUUGGUCAGCUACAGGAUAUGCUCGUGCAAAGUAGGCAAGGCCGGUCCCUCUUGUAAACAGCCGUGGGUCCGGUGAAACGGAACAGCUUUGCUUUUUGUUCCUCUGGGAGAUUGACACACUGCCGAGGGGCGUUAGACACUCGCGGG